ACGACCGGCGCACGGGUGAGUAACGCGUAUGCAACCUACCUACUACAGGGGAAUAGCCCGAAGAAAUUCGGAUUAAUGCCGCAUAAUACAGGGGCACCGCAUGGUGAUAUUUGUUAAAGAUUAAUUGGUAGUAGAUGGGCAUGCGUUCCAUUAGCCAGUUGGUGAGGUAACGGCUCACCAAAGCAACGAUGGAUAGGGGAACUGAGAGGUUUAUCCCCCACACUGGUACUGAGACACGGACCAGACUCCUACGGGAGGCAGCAGUGAGGAAUAUUGGUCAAUGGGCGAGAGCCUGAACCAGCCAAGUCGCGUGAAGGAUGACUGCCCUAUGGGUUGUAAACUUCUUUUGUACUGGGGUAAAAAAGAGGACGUGUCCUUUCUUGCAAGUACAGUACGAAUAAGCAUCGGCUAACUCCGUGCCAGCAGCCGCGGUAAUACGGAGGAUGCGAGCGUUAUCCGGAUUUAUUGGGUUUAAAGGGUGCGUAGGCGGGGAUUUAAGUCAGCGGUGA
Molecule: ribosomal RNA, 509 nt
Filed under: Indolivaga capnocytophagoides
Lineage: Bacteria; Pseudomonadati; Bacteroidota; Bacteroidia; Bacteroidales; Dysgonomonadaceae
Description: bacterial SSU rRNA
Rfam family: Bacterial small subunit ribosomal RNA
Source: RNAcentral